GCGGCAUAUUGGCGCCGAAAUAAUUAAUUAUAAAUUGACUGUCUCGACAUUAAUAACCCAUUUGGCAUUUGCAUAUAAAUUAGAACAUUCGAAAACAACAGCCUCCACAACACACUUGCCAAUACCACAGAAACGUAUAACUAAACCAGUGUGAUGCUAACUUAAUACGGCGCGACUACCGCAUACCCCUUGAUCACAGGAGAUACAAAGCGGGGUAUCACAGUAUAAUCUUAGCUUCUUAGCAGAGCUAAAGACAUACAAGAAAACAAAUCAUAAGUGGGCAAGGCAAUCAUCGUAUACUUAGACAAAACAAACAUGAACAUCAGCACGCGCACCAGGCUUUAGGCUUACGACUUGACGUCACAUGGGGCUUUCUUCCAUCGCAUGAUUCACAGCUCCGUUCCCUACUGCGGUUCUCCAUCUAAGCCGAAUUAUUACCUGAUCUAAACAUAGCU
This is a long non-coding RNA of Drosophila miranda, 455 nucleotides long. RefSeq lists it as uncharacterized. The transcript is spliced from 3 exons. The record is from RefSeq and is a predicted model, not a curated record. Lineage: Eukaryota; Metazoa; Arthropoda; Insecta; Diptera; Drosophilidae.